UACGUAGGGUGCAAGCGUUGUCCGGAAUUAUUGGGCGUAAAGAGCUCGUAGGCGGUUUGUCGCGUCGGCUGUGAAAACCUGGGGCUCAACCCCGGGCCUGCAGCCGAUACGGGCAAACUAGAAUUCGGUAGGGGAGACUGGAAUUCCUGGUGUAGCGGUGAAAUGCGCAGAUAUCGGGAAGAACACCCGUGGCGAAGGCGGCACUCUGGGACGGUACUGACGCUGAGACGCGAAAGCGUGGGGAGCGAACAGG
RNAcentral lists this ribosomal RNA (253 nucleotides) under uncultured bacterium. RNAcentral's name for it is "partial 16S ribosomal RNA". It matches the Rfam family "Bacterial small subunit ribosomal RNA", at positions 524 to 776 of the family's 1533-position model. The record is from RNAcentral.